Molecule: ribosomal RNA, 273 nt
Filed under: Bacillus sp. MK1
Lineage: Bacteria; Bacillati; Bacillota; Bacilli; Caryophanales; Bacillaceae
Description: partial 16S ribosomal RNA
Rfam family: Bacterial small subunit ribosomal RNA
Source: RNAcentral
AGCCUUUUGGCUCCCUUGAUGUUAGCGGCAGACGGGUCGAUUAACACGUGGGUAACCUGCCUGUAAGACUGGGAUAACUCCGGGAAACCGGGGCUAAUACCGGAUGGUAGUUUGAACCGCAAGGUUCAACAUAAAAAGUGGCUUUCGGCUACCACUUUAAGAUGGACCCCCGGCGCCUUAUCUAAUUUUUGAGGUUACGGCUCACAAGGCAACGAAGCGUAACCCACCUGAAGAGGUGAUCCGCCAACUGGGAAUAAAAACCGCCCCACUCCU